UUUUUUUGGCAGGAGCUUGUGCGUAUGGAGGGAGAUUAUUCACAGGACUUGAUUCCUUCUUUGGGUCCUCCACCUCGUCUUCCCAAGCCUACGCACCCGGAAAUGAUGGGAUUCAUGAAGAUGGUUGACGCUUUAAAGUACUACAUCAUCAAGCUUCGACGUGGUGCGAGUUGUCGGGGCGGUUCUGGAGGCGUUCUCGAGGAGCGACGGAGGUCUCGCUUGCGCUCGAGGCACAGAGGUU
Molecule: long non-coding RNA, 241 nt
Organism: Chenopodium quinoa (quinoa)
Lineage: Eukaryota; Viridiplantae; Streptophyta; Magnoliopsida; Caryophyllales; Amaranthaceae
Exons: 3
Source: RefSeq, a predicted model, not a curated record